UACGUAGGGUGCGAGCGUUGUCCGGAAUUAUUGGGCGUAAAGAGCUCGUAGGCGGUGUGUCGCGUCGGCCGUGAAAACCUGCAGCUUAACUGUGGGCUUGCGGUCGAUACGGGCAUCACUGGAGUUCGGCAGGGGAGACUGGAAUUCCUGGUGUAGCGGUGAAAUGCGCAGAUAUCAGGAGGAACACCGGUGGCGAAGGCGGGUCUCUGGGCCGAUACUGACGCUGAGACGCGAAAGCGUGGGGAGCGAACAGG
Molecule: ribosomal RNA, 254 nt
Filed under: uncultured bacterium
Lineage: Bacteria
Description: partial 16S ribosomal RNA
Rfam family: Bacterial small subunit ribosomal RNA
Source: RNAcentral